AGAAGAGACUCCUCUGUUCACAGAAGCUAAAGGCAGUUCCUUCCCAAUGGCAACUAUGUUUGGAUGUUGGAUCUACACUUUCUCAAGCACUGUGAUCUUCAAAUCAAAGGAGAUUUCUCCCAUUAUAUACUUCUUAUGAUCAACAAAUUCCAUCAUCUCCCCACUAAGAGAAAGUACUCCAAGAUGAUAGAAUGAUUUUAAAGUUAUGGGACUACAACAGCAGCCACAGGAACCUUGAGUAAGUACCAUGAACCCUGACCCUCAGCGUUAAUUUGUAAGCCUUUGGCAGUGAGAUGGAAUGUCUUCCUUCAGUUUGAAACAAAGGAAACCUAUUGCAUCGCACGUAAAUUUGUAUAUUGAUGCUAUAUUGACUUUGUAGCUGCCAUGCCUUCAUACAGACACCUCAUCCAGCCCCCACUGUUCCACUUAUUGUGAUGGUUUGUAUAUCUUUAUUUCAAAGAAGAUCUGUUUGAACCGUGUUUAAUUUCUUCUUUGACCUGCUUUCAUCACUGCCCAUGCCUACCCUGGUGGCAUUCUCAUCCACGAGACUACCACAUCCAUGCCACUAGGUGGCAUUCUCAUCCAUGAGACUACUGCACCCGUGCGCACGUCAAGAAGUAGCCAAGCCAUGGGCUGGAUUGUGCUUUUCCUGAGAGGAUGAAAGGCUUCAUGGAUACAUGCUAGUAUCCAUGUUCCUCUAUUCUCAAGUCAGGCACCAAGAUGAUGUUUCAUACCUGCCUGCCUUUCAAAGUCUCAUAAAUGUUCAUUGAAUAUCCACUCUAUGCAAGGCACUAGGGUAGUCACAGAGGCAAGGUUUGAGCUAAACUACAGGCCCUGCCCUCCAGGAGCUCCCGGUCUCAUGGCAGGGUGCAGAAGCCAGAAUAGAGGGCCAUGGCAUGGGAGAGAACUCUGCUGACCGGGAGCUCUGAAGGGUUAGGGGUCCAUGAGCCUGAUUUAUGGGGUCGUUGCCAUAGGAUUAGGGGCUCCCUGGCAUACAGUGAAUGGAGAGACUAGCAUUGCUGUGUUAUUUCACUGAGAGGGCACCAAUGUUCAGCCUCUGAGACCAGGGGAGGAAAGCAGUGGCCAUGAAUGUUCCCUCCCAUCCCGGGGACUGACUGGGCUCCUCCCACAGUCUCAGACACAGAGGAAGAAGUGUACUCACACUGCCCCAACACCAGUGAGUGGAAAUAUUUAUAGGUCUCUCAUUUGGUUUUAAUUUUUAUUUUUUUAUUUUUCAGAAAUUAAAAAAAAAAUCACACUCACAAAAUUAACCAUUACCCACAUUCCUACCAACAAGAAGUAACCAUUCUUAACCUUGUAAUAUGUUGGUUUCCAGAUUUAUGUUUAUGCUUUAAAAAAUUAUGCAGACAACAUAUUAGCACAUUGCCCCUUUUCUCAUUUGUUUUAAUCCAUGUUCUUCCCAUUUAUACAGGAGCAAUUCUUGCAUUCAGUUAUGGGAUACUAUAAAUGCCUAGUAUAAUGGCAGCAGAGAGAAUUACUAUGGUUGUAUACCUUUUCUCGCUCCUUGCUCCUCAAAUGCCUUAGAGUUUAAAAUCUAUUGUGGAAAGUUUGUGAAAUGCAGAACGGUGAAAAUAAACAAAUUACCAGUGG
This 1611-nucleotide long non-coding RNA is filed under the name Homo sapiens (human). RNAcentral describes it as "HSALNT0409049". Lineage: Eukaryota; Metazoa; Chordata; Mammalia; Primates; Hominidae. The record is from RNAcentral.